Molecule: non-coding RNA, 2174 nt
Organism: Peromyscus maniculatus bairdii (prairie deer mouse)
Lineage: Eukaryota; Metazoa; Chordata; Mammalia; Rodentia; Cricetidae
Source: RefSeq, a predicted model, not a curated record
GAGCCGAGGGUCAGCUACUCCAGCUACCAGGUGCCUCCCACUUUCCCUCCGCUGGUCGGGGAGGGGGCGCUCUCAAACACUCUUAGAAUUCAACCCUGGAGCAAGCUUUUCAAAGCCGAGCUCAUCCCAGCCAUCUCGCUGCACCGACGCUGCACGGCCACCCCUCCACCCGUGCUCUCGACCCCACCUCCCUUCCUCUGUCAUGUGCGCGCCUUCUUCACAGAACCCAGGGCUUCGCGCUGAGCCGGUCCGGACUGGCCAGGGAGUGUGGCCGCGCCGGGGGCCAAGGGCCGGUGCAGCACAGCGGGUGGCGUCGCCAAGGGCGCUGGCCUUGACGUCCCGAGCUUUUAACUGACGGACAGCCACCUCCCACACACCCAGCGCUGGCGCUGCAGCCAAGCAGUGACUGACAGUUACAGGGGACCGGGCGGCCCGUCCCCUGAAGCCCUAGCGCAGGCGACGAGGGGCACCGGGGACAAGGGGAGCGCUCACCGCCUCAGGGAGUCCGACACCUGCAGCGCCUCGGCGGCCCCGGACGAGGGGCUCGGCGUCGCUGCUGGAACGCCGGCCCCGGGCAUCUCAGUCAGCGCAGUUCCCAGCGCCUCCCUCACCUCCCUCGCCUCGGCCGCGUCCUCGGGCGUUGAGCUCCGGGCAGGGGUCCGCCUACCAACAAGGCAGCCAAUGGGCACCGAGCGCGGGAAGCCUGGGGCGGGGCCUGGCCGGCGGGUCUCCCAAGUCGCCCAGGGCUCAGGAAAACCGCACGGAAUUUCAGGCUGGAGCUGACUAGCAGAGAAAGAAGAUCUGUAUUAAGAGACAGGCUUCUGACCUGGAGGGCGCUUCCCUUUUUCGACAAAUAGGUCUUGACUGCGUGAUGGUUCACACUGGGCAGGAUCUAGAAUCACCCAGGAGACCAACCUCUGGGCACAUCUGGGAGGGAGUUUCUAGACUAGGUAAGCGGAGGGGAUGCGACCCAUCCUGACUGUGGACAACAGUGUCCCAAGGGCCCGGGGUCCUGGACUGAAAAGGAGAAAUGGAACCGAACACUAGCUUUCAUGGCUCUGCUUCCCGAGAGAGGGUGAAAUGUGACCUCAUGCUCUGGAUGCCUUGACCUCCACCAUGACCUUCAAACUGCGAAUCAAAAUAAGUUCCUCCAUAACUUGGUUUUGUCGGGCAUUUAUUAUUUUUAAAAGAUGUAUUUGUUUUUCUAUGUGUGAGUGUUUGCUUGCAUGUACGUGCCCGCAAUCAUGUCUUUAUGUAGUAUACCAACUUUCUGUCCGCUCAUUGCUUUGGCUUAUUUUUCUUUUUUAGUUCGGUAUGGCUGAAGAUUGUAAAUGUCCCCUGGCUUCCAGCAGGUGACAUUAGGAACUUUCCAUCACAGUGCCCUCUCAGAAGUAGGAGGUCGUGACAGCCCCACCCUCCAAAGUCACGUGAGGUGAAGAAUCCCCUGCUGCCGUGGUGUGCUGCCGUGGUGUGCUGCCCCAGCACAUGAAGUACAGGAACCAUGGACUGAAGCUCCUGAAACCCUGACCCCGAACAAACCUUUCCUCUUCUGAAUUGUUAGUCAGGUUCUUUCCCACAGUAACAAAGAAAAAUCAAAACAGUAGCCAUCAAGAAAUGCAAAUCAAAACUCUAUCGCCCACAGUGCGAAGUAUAUCAUUUUAAAUAUACAUAAUAUAUAAUAAAAAGAUAACAAUGUCAUAGCGUAUUUAAUUUAGAAAAUAUUGUAACAAGUGUCAAGCAUUAUGGACUGAAUUGUAUCCUCUAACAUUAGAUAUUGAAGCUUUAACCCCCGUCAUGUGACUGCAUUUGAGAAAAGGUAUUAAGAGAGGUAAUUAAGGUAAAUGACAUCAUAAAGGCAGACUCCCAACCCAAUACAACAGCUGUCCUUAUGAGAGGAGGAAGAGCUGGGCAUAUGUGCACACAAAGAGAAGGCCAUGUGAUGUGAGGGGUGGCACAGUGGUGCACACCUGUAAUCCCAUCUCUAGAGAGGCUGAGACAGAAAGAUUGCCAUGAGUGUGAGGUAUAUAGGGAGACCAUCAUUCAAACAAAUGAAACCUUAUCAUCUGCUGACAACCAUCUUGAAUUUCUACCCUCUAGACCUGUGAGAAAAUAAAGUUCUUGUGUUUAAGCCACUCAGUCUGUGGUAUUUUGUUUUGAUAGUUCUAGCCAGUUAA